Mauremys reevesii (Reeves's turtle) is the source of this 532-nucleotide long non-coding RNA. RefSeq lists it as uncharacterized. The record is from RefSeq and is a predicted model, not a curated record. The transcript has 3 exons. NCBI's taxonomy places the organism in Eukaryota, Metazoa, Chordata, Testudines, Geoemydidae.
CCUCGGAAAGGGUGGCCUAAAGGUUGGAGGACCAAGUUAUCUGAAACAAAAACCAGCAUGGCAACUGUCAACAGGAGGAAUAGGUGACACUUCAGUUGUUUUCUAAGACUUUCAGAUGUAUGAAAUGGAUGCAGAAUGAGGAUCUCAAAUGAAAUGCCAUAGCACGGCAAGUAUGGAGCCCACUCAGUUCACCGCUGCUGUUGCGAGCAUUGUAAACACCUCGUGCAUUAUACUGCAGUAUGUGCAGAACCUGGCUAAGAGACCACAGCCCGAGGACGAUUGUGAGGAGGACAUGGACACAGACAUUCCUGAAAGCACAGGAUGUAACAAUUGGGACAUCAUGGUGGCAGUGGGGCUGGUUGAUAAAGUGGAACGCUGAUUCUGGGCUCAGCAAACAAGAACAGACCAAGCCUAUCCCUUGCUCCCAUGGCUCAUGAAGCCAUACACAGGCAGCCUGGACAGUAGUAAGGAGAAGUUCAACUAUAGGCUGAGCAAGUGCAGAAUGGUGGUAGAAUGUACCUUUGGCCAUUUA